This 484-nucleotide ribosomal RNA is filed under the name uncultured bacterium. RNAcentral describes it as "partial 16S ribosomal RNA". It matches the Rfam family "Bacterial small subunit ribosomal RNA", at positions 30 to 507 of the family's 1533-position model. The record is from RNAcentral.
AUUGAACGCUGGCGGAAGGCCUAACACAUGCAAGUCGAGCGGAUGAAGGGAGCUUGCUUCUGGAUUCAGUGGCGGACGGGUGAGUAAUGCCUAGGAAUCUGUCUGGUCGUGGGGGAUAACGUCCGGAAACGGGCGCCAAUACCGCAUAAGUACUGAGGUAGAACGUGGGGGAUCUUCGGAACCCACGCUAUCAGAUGAGCCUAGGUCGGAUUAGCUAGUUGGUGGGGUAAAGGCCUACCAAGGCGACGAACCGUAACUCGUCUGAGAGGAUGAUCAGUCGCACUGGAACUGAGACACGGCCCAAACUCCUACAGGAAGGAGCAGUACGCAAUAUUGGAGAAUGCGCGGAAGCCUGAUCCAACCAGGCCGCGUGUGUGAAGAAGGACUUCUGAUUGUAAAGCACUUUAAGUUGGGAGGUAAGGCAGUAAGUUAAUAGCUGGCUGUAUUGACGUUACCAACAGAAGAAGCACCGGCUAACUACGUG